Molecule: long non-coding RNA, 1219 nt
Filed under: Fukomys damarensis (Damara mole-rat)
Lineage: Eukaryota; Metazoa; Chordata; Mammalia; Rodentia; Bathyergidae
Description: lncRNA (ENSFDAG00000030447.1)
Source: RNAcentral
AGAUCGAACUCGGGACCUUGCACUUGCGAGGCAGGUGGUGGAACCACUGAGCUAAGUCCCCAGCCCUAUAACAACUUCUUGGGGCAGGUGUUACUAUUACCCACUUGGCCAGGCAUGGUGGUGCGCGCCUGCCAUCCCAGCACUCAGGAGGCUGAGACAGGAGGAUUGCGGAGCCCACCCAGGCUACACAGUGAGUUCAAAGCCAGCCUGAACUACAUAACAAGACCCUGUCUCAAAAAGCCAAGAAACAAACAAAAAAAAAGAAAUGACAAAUGUUUAAGAAAAGGAAAAUGCACACUGCUUUGAUUUGAUCGUGACACAUUUUGUACGUAUAUUGACUUAUCACACCGUACCCCAUAAAUAUGUACCAGUAUUCUGUGUCAGUUAAAAAUAAAAAUAGAAAAAAAUUAGAAUUGAACAAUGAUGAGAUAACUAGGUAGGAGAGAAAAGGUUUCUAAACCCCACACCCGCUUCCUCUUGCCAGACUGUCCAGCUGUGGGUGGCCCCUGCUUGCCUACCCUGGGUACCCCACUCCCAUGACUGGCAGGGGCACAUGGGAGAGGUACGCUGGUCUUUGGGGCGGGAGGCUGAGGCAGGAAAUCAACCUUAGCAUUAUAUUCCUCCUGGUGCAUUCUCAACUUCCUCGCAGUAUUUGUCUCAAUGGCAAAAACAACAACAACAAUAAUAAUAAUAACCACCACAGUUUGGCAGGCUGACCUGGAGCGGCCAGCACUGCCCGUCACCCCCACCGCUCCCCAUAGUAAGGACUGAGCCGGGGACCUUUGCCCUGAGCUGCACCCCAGCCCCUUUUUAAUUUUUUUUAUCUUGAUAUAAGAUCUCCCUAAAUUGCCUGGGCUUGGAUUGUGACGUGGGACCCUCCUGCCUCAGCCUCCCCAGAGUGCCAGGAUGACAGGCGGGCGUCGCCAUGCCCAGCUUUCCUGUGUCUUUCUUGAGUGGUCCUCAGCAGUGAAACGCAGGGAGGAGUCCUGGAUUGACCAAGGGAGUCCUGAGCCUUCCCAGAAGACCCGCCUGCCUGGAACCCCCCAGAGUCCAGGGGACCUGAUCCAAAAGCAGGCUUCGCUGCGACAGUCCGCUCCCUCUGUCCGUGAUCUGCCCCUUCGUCCCAGCCCAGCCCCCAGCCCUGCCGGGGGCUGACCCGGUGCAACCCCCCUCACGCAACCGAGUUCCUAAUUUGGCCCAUCCAAAGUUCCCAGCCCCG